AUAAAAUCUGAAGUAGAUAUUUAGUAGAUAACCCCAAAAAACAGGUUCUAGGCUUAAUUGGCAGAUAAGGGAUAGCGUCCAGUAUACCACUGCAGAUCCCUAAAUGGACUCUUAAGAUAGUGCACUAAUGAAUCUCUGGGUAAAUCACAGGAUAGAAUAUUAAGUACUGUGCUGGAAGCGUCCCUGGGAAAAAGAGCCCGCUAGAAUGGAU
Non-coding RNA from Pelobates cultripes (western spadefoot toad), 211 nucleotides. The record is from the annotation of a GenBank genome assembly. Lineage: Eukaryota; Metazoa; Chordata; Amphibia; Anura; Pelobatidae.